AUCCCAGUAGCGUAAAGGAUACCGUGUUGGACUUCUAAUCCAAAGGUCGUGGGCUCGAAUCCCCUCUGGGGUG
Molecule: non-coding RNA, 73 nt
Organism: Trichonephila inaurata madagascariensis
Lineage: Eukaryota; Metazoa; Arthropoda; Arachnida; Araneae; Nephilidae
Source: the annotation of a GenBank genome assembly